This is a long non-coding RNA of Armigeres subalbatus, 1008 nucleotides long. RefSeq lists it as uncharacterized. The record is from RefSeq and is a predicted model, not a curated record. NCBI's taxonomy places the organism in Eukaryota, Metazoa, Arthropoda, Insecta, Diptera, Culicidae. The transcript is spliced from 2 exons.
UACAAAAUGCCAAAUUGUGCCCACUGUGCCUUAUGAUGUGCCGAAGUGUGCCGAAGCAAAAAAAAAGCUGUUUUGGUGGCACUGGUUUCCGUGAAGUGAUGGCAUCACGGGAAAGACUUUUGUUUAUUUUUUAUUUGGAAAAGUCAAACCCGAAGAUUGUUUUCAAUUAAGAUUUUAAAUUUUGGAUUAAAUUUCAAUGCUUUGUCUAAGAAAAGAAACGGUGAAGACUAAGCUUCAAGCCAUUUAUAAGAUCCAGCAGCAACGUUGUUCGAUGGUUAUCAAUCAGAAGUUUCAUCUGACUCUCAUCUAUUUACGUCCGAGUCUACACCUAACGGGAACGUCCAAGUAGAUCACGAAGUUUGCCAACAAAUACAACCUAUGAUUGAUCCAGAACCUCUAGAUGGUCCGACGGUCGAUCGUAUGGAAUUUGGUGCUAUAAACCAGCGGUUAUUGUCCCUAAGGAAAAGUCGCCCAGAGUGAUAUCCCUGAUGUCAUUCGUAAUGAUUCCAGUGACCAUUUCUUCAGCUAGCCCAAUAUCCAUGGACUGCAGUGAACUGUCCACACCCAGGCGCAUGAAGUUACAACAGUGUAAGCAGCGGCCACUGUAUAGAAGUAAUCUACCGAGCAUCAUUCCGACUACGACGAACCAAUCAAUUCCCACGAAUCACAAACAAAUUUCAACCGAGAUCCAGCGAAGCGCCAACUACGUUCGUGCAGCGAAGGACUACACAAUUUUAAAAAGAUUUGUUUGCUCACUGCAUAGAGAAUGGACAUGAACUGUAUUCUUGUUUACAUGAAUCCGAUUCGUUCGAAUAGUUUUCACGGAUUCAUUCAAAUAUCCGAUUUUGCUCGCGUUGAUAAUUGUAAUUGUAUUUAUUAUUCUUACGAGAAACAGUUUACAUUUUAUGCACAUUAACAUUCGUUUGAAGAAUGCUGGUGAAAAUAUAAUAAAUGUUUUCUUCCAGAAAAAAUAGAUAUUAACAUAGAACUAGGAUAGUCUGACUAAGA